RNAcentral lists this ribosomal RNA (447 nucleotides) under uncultured Leptolinea sp. RNAcentral's name for it is "bacterial SSU rRNA". It matches the Rfam family "Bacterial small subunit ribosomal RNA", at positions 923 to 1382 of the family's 1533-position model. Lineage: Bacteria; Bacillati; Chloroflexota; Anaerolineae; Anaerolineales; Anaerolineaceae. The record is from RNAcentral.
GCACAAGCAGCGGAGCGUGUGGUUUAAUUCGAUGUUACACGAAGAACCUUUACCAGGGUUUGACAUGCAAGUGGUAGGAAGCCGAAAGGUGACCGACCCUUCGGGGAGCUUGCACAGGUGCUGCAUGGCUGUCGUCAGCUCGUGUCGUGAGAUGUUCGGUUAAGUCCGCUAACGAGCGCAACCCUCGCUGUGUGUUAUAUGUGUCACACGGGACUGCCGGUCUUAAGCCGGAGGAAGGUGGGGAUGAUGUCAAGUCAGCAUGGCCUUUAUAUCCUGGGCUACACACACGCUACAAUGGCCAACACAAUAGGUUGCUAAGCCGCGAGGUGGAGCCAAUCCACAAAGCCGGUCUCAGUUCAGAUUGCAGGCUGCAACCCGCCUGCAUGAAGAUGGAGUUGCUAGUAACCGCAGGUCAGCUAUACUGCGGUGAAUACGUUCCCGGGGCUU